CACGUAGGGGGCGAGCGUUGUCCGGAUUCAUUGGGCGUAAAGCGCGCGCAGGCGGCUCGGAAAGUCGGAUGUGAAAACUCGGGGCUCAACCCCGAGCCUGCAGUCGAUACGGGCAGGCUAGAGUCCGGCAGGGGAGACUGGAAUUCCUGGUGUAGCGGUGAAAUGCGCAGAUAUCAGGAGGAACACCGGUGGCGAAGGCGGGUCUCUGGGCCGGAACUGACGCUAAGGAGCGAAAGCGUGGGGAGCGAACAGG
This 253-nucleotide ribosomal RNA is filed under the name uncultured bacterium. Its description in RNAcentral is "partial 16S ribosomal RNA". It matches the Rfam family "Bacterial small subunit ribosomal RNA", at positions 524 to 776 of the family's 1533-position model. The record is from RNAcentral.